GAUGAAGAACGCAGCGAAAUGCGAUACUUGGUGUGAAUUGCAGAAUCCCGUGAACCAUCGAGUCUUUGAACGCAAGUUGUGCCUCAAGCCAUUAGGUUGAGGGCACGUCUGCCUGGGCGUCACAUAUCGUUGCCUGAUGCCAGUUUCCUCGUGAUGGGUGACUGUGCAGGGCGAAUGAUGGCUUCCCGUGAGCAUUGUUGCCUCAUGGUUGGUUGAAAAUUGAGUCCUUGGUAGGGAGCGCCGUGAUAGAUGGUGGUUGAGUGACGAACGAGACCCAAUCAUGUGAGACCCCUACCGAAUUUGGCCUUCAUGACCCACAUGCGUCUUUGGAACGCUCAUGACGAGACCUCAGGUCAGGCGGGGCUACCCGCUGAGUUUAAGCAUAUCAAUAAGCGGAGGA
Molecule: unclassified non-coding RNA, 400 nt
Filed under: soil metagenome
Description: partial contains 5.8S ribosomal RNA, internal transcribed spacer 2, and large subunit ribosomal RNA
Rfam family: 5.8S ribosomal RNA (bases 1-122)
Source: RNAcentral